AACGAACGCUGGCGGCGCGCUUAACACAUGCAAGUCGAACGAGAAGCUGUAGCAAUACAGUUGUAAAGUGGCAAACGGGUGAGUAAUGCGUGGGUAAUCUACCCUAGGGUGGGGAAUAACUCCUCGAAAGGGGAGCUAAUGCCGACAUGUGCGCCACUCUCGCAAGGGAGUGAUGGAAAGCCGUACCGUGGGUGCGGCGCCCAAGGAUGAGCUCACGUCCUANCAGCUUGUUGGCGGGGUAACGGCCCACCAAGGCUGCGACGGGUAGCUGGUCUGAGAGGACGACCAGCCACACUGGCACUGCGACGACGGGCCAGACUCCUACGGGAGGCAGCAGUGAGGAAUAUUGCGCAAUGGACGACAGUCUGACGCA
This 373-nucleotide ribosomal RNA is filed under the name uncultured bacterium. RNAcentral's name for it is "bacterial SSU rRNA". It matches the Rfam family "Bacterial small subunit ribosomal RNA", at positions 29 to 390 of the family's 1533-position model. The record is from RNAcentral.